Molecule: long non-coding RNA, 1894 nt
Organism: Clupea harengus (Atlantic herring)
Lineage: Eukaryota; Metazoa; Chordata; Actinopteri; Clupeiformes; Clupeidae
Source: RefSeq, a predicted model, not a curated record
GUUCGUGCUUAUGUUAGGAUCACGCUGUUUCUCCUGCACCAUGCCUGCAGCGUUAGGGGCAGCACAGAAGAGACCUGUUCCAUCACGGCUCUGGCAAGUGUUACGGGGUUGGCGAUGUUUCUCACAGAGGACACAGCGCCAGAGGCCAGGGUGCUUCCGUCCAUUAUCAUGGCGUCCAGCUCCACUUCUCCAGCUGUAUUCUGCACGGCUCCGUGACCUAAUAAAGACAUUGCAUUCAGCUGUGCCAACUCUAUCAAAGGAAGACAUCUCUUUCACAAACAAAAAGAUAACACGACACCAGAACACCAGACCUCUUUCCUUACUCAAGCAGAGGGUCAUUGACCCAGGUCUUGAACUGUUUCUCACAGACUUCACUUUGUGUAACAAAACAAGUAAUACAGAAAUGUCUUCAUGAACUUCUGCAAUGUAAAAUAUAUACCUGAGCACCUCCUCCUUUUGAUGCACUGUUUUUCAGACAGUCCAAGAAAGCACUGAUAAACCCCAAGACCUUGAAUAUUUCUCAGCUGACUAUACCGUGUGUGUGAGUGUUUUAGAAUGAGAGUGCAGGUUCAAGGCCAAGUCCAUCAUUUGAGCAUAGUAAGGGAAGUGAAUAUCAAACAUAGACUCCUCCGCUAGUAUCACAGAACUCGCAAGCUCAUUAAACAUUAACUUCAAAGAGCUUGGAGUGUUAAAAUUGUGAAUAUGAUCAUUUCCAGCAUUUUUUUUAUCCAGAGCGCAACAUUAAACCAACACAUUUUUAAAACCAUACCGAUAUGCACAUUCAGACUGUGGCUCCAAAUUCAUUGAAACUCCACUCUUCUCACUUCCUCUUUCCCUAAAUGGAAUUGCAUUAGUCGUGUAUUGAUCAGUCUCAGCCCGUAGCUAUAGCAGUGUAUUAAAAUUACCCCUCCGACGAAGUGCUGAUUCCGCCCCUGCACUUUGAAGAGGAUAUGCUGUUUCAACUAUUGUGGCAGUUGGCCAUUACAAAUGAGAUGGAGCUUGACAGCUGACUCCGGCUAAUGAAGUGUGUUGUUUUGCCCUUGCUGCUUUGAUGUAAUCUGAUAAUUACCUGGAGACCUCUCACCUCUCUUUAGGCCGAUCGUUAAAGCAAAGUGUCAUGGGUGUGAAAUGAAAUACAGUCCUAUCCCAUCUAAAAAAAAACACUGUCAAGGAAAAUCUCCCAGUUUUAAAAUGUACUGGUAUUUGUACACUAGAUAGAUUUUGUUUUAAGCAAAAAAAAGUAUGAUCAAACACAAAACUUCUGUGCAAACAUACAAAUAUUGUAUUGUCACUGCCAUUAAACAGCAUUAUUUGACUGUAUGUUUCUAUCAACAUUUUCAUACAACAGCUCGUCCAACAUUUUGAUAGAGCCACAGAGCUAGAGAGAUGAUACUUGCUAUACAAGCGAUGCAAUGGUUUAUUACUUUGCCCAUCUUCAGUCAAUCUAUGUACUGCUUGAUUGACCUUGUCUUUGAUGAUGGACGCAAAGAAAUGGCAUGGAACAUUGACUCAAAUCACUGUAUUCUGAGAAAUACCACCUUGUUUUCUGCACUGUUGUUUUUAAACCCAUUCAAGGUCAUGCUGUUCUGAUGAAUAUCAGCACAGUUUUGAUUAUGUUGCACAGUUAAUUAUUUACCACAAACUAGCCCAUAAAAUGAAAUGAGGCUAGGGUCUCUGCAUUAUGCAUUGGGACACUGAUAACACAAGUCUUAUCCCUGUCCAAGUCCAUAUACUUUAUUGUGCAGCUGUAGAAAUACCAGUGAUAUGGAAAAUUAAGGGUUCAUUAUUCAUCACAGGUGUGCAUUAGAAACAACCAAACAGCACUUACUGAGCCUUUACCAUGUUCACUGGGACAAUGUUGUCAUUACUAUGCAGUUGUGGGUGCACACAGGGA